This 72-nucleotide transfer RNA is filed under the name Pestalotiopsis fici W106-1. RNAcentral's name for it is "tRNA-Glu (CTC) (tRNA-Glu-CTC-2-1)". It matches the Rfam family "tRNA". From Rfam's summary of the family: Transfer RNA (tRNA) molecules are approximately 80 nucleotides in length. The record is from Rfam by way of RNAcentral. Lineage: Eukaryota; Fungi; Ascomycota; Sordariomycetes; Amphisphaeriales; Sporocadaceae.
CUCGGCGUGGUGUAAUGGCUAACAUUAAGGAUUCUCACUCCUUAGCUCAGGGUUCGAUUCCCUGCACCGAGG